GUGAAGAACGUAGCGAAAUGCGAUAAUUAAUGUGAAUUGCAGAAUUCAGUGAAUCAUCGAGUCUUUGAACGCACAUUGCGCCCCCUGGUAUUCCGGGGGGCAUGCCUGUCCGAGCGUCAUUGCUGCCCUCAAGCCCGGCUUGUGUGUUGGGCCCUGCUCCCCCGGGGGCAGGCCCGAAAGGCAGUGGCGGCACCGCGUCCGAUCCUCGAGCGUAUGGGGCUUUGUCACCCGCUCUGUAGGCCCGGCCGGCGCUUGCCGACCCCCAUCAAUCUUUUUUCAGGUUGACCUCGGAUCAGGUAGGGAUACCCGCUGAACUUAAGCAUAUCAAUAAGCGGAGGA
RNAcentral lists this unclassified non-coding RNA (339 nucleotides) under soil metagenome. RNAcentral's name for it is "partial contains 5.8S ribosomal RNA, internal transcribed spacer 2, and large subunit ribosomal RNA". The stretch from base 2 to 119 matches the Rfam family "5.8S ribosomal RNA", at positions 37 to 154 of the family's 154-position model. The record is from RNAcentral.